This is a long non-coding RNA of Mauremys mutica (yellowpond turtle), 612 nucleotides long. RefSeq lists it as uncharacterized. The transcript is spliced from 4 exons. The record is from RefSeq and is a predicted model, not a curated record. NCBI's taxonomy places the organism in Eukaryota, Metazoa, Chordata, Testudines, Geoemydidae.
CUGAGUGGAAAUCGGCUGGCCCCUUGCGCGCUCAGCCAAGGCGAUGAACAGUUGCGAGGACUUUCUGAACGGCUUGGCCCACUUGAGGUAGAAAGCAAGAGCCCGCCUCACAUUGAGUGUGUGGAGACGGCGCUCCUCACUAGUCGCGUGAGGCUUGGGGCAGAGGACUGGUAGAAAAAUAUCCUGACCCAUGUGCUAGGCGGAGACCACCUUCAGGAGGAACGCGGGGACUCUGCUGAUCAGCGGGAACGGGGGAAAGGUGUAGAGACGCUGGCCUGACCAGGACAGGAUAAAGGCCCAGGGCAGUGCAUGUGGACAGGAGGAGAGCCACGUGAUCCCUCACCUGCAACCUGGAGGUGCCCUUGACCAGCCAGUCAUCCAGAUAGGGGAAUAUCUGGACCCCCCGGCACCUGAGCGCCUUCCCGUCAAAAGGGAGAUCCUGCAUUGAUGACUGCACUUCGCUGGAUAGCCCAGAGAGCAGGAGCCAUGGACACCGCCGAGACCAUGGACCAUGCAGUCGUGUCCGCUGCAUCCGAAGUGGCCUGCAGGGAUGCCCUUUGGCCACUGCCCCUUCGUCCACGAGUGCCUUAAACUCUUUUCUAUUGUGCUCCU